GAUGAAGAACGUAGCGAAAUGCGAUAAUUAAUGUGAAUUGCAGAAUUUAGUGAAUCAUCGAAUCUUUGAACGCACAUUGCGCCCCUUGGUAUUCCGGGGGGCAUGCCUGUUCGAGCGUCAUUUCAACCCUCAAGCUCUGCUUGGUCUUGGGCCGCGCCGGCAACGGCGGGCCUCAAAAACAGUGGCGGCGCCAUCUGGUCCCUCAGCGUAGUAAUUCUUCUCGCUAUGGAGUCCUGGUGGAUGCUUGCCAUCAACCCCCAAUUUUUCUAUGGUUGACCUCGGAUCAGGUAGGGAUACCCGCUGAACUUAAGCAUAUCAAUAAGCGGAGGA
RNAcentral lists this unclassified non-coding RNA (330 nucleotides) under soil metagenome. Its description in RNAcentral is "partial contains 5.8S ribosomal RNA, internal transcribed spacer 2, and large subunit ribosomal RNA". The stretch from base 1 to 120 matches the Rfam family "5.8S ribosomal RNA", at positions 35 to 154 of the family's 154-position model. The record is from RNAcentral.